GACGAACGCUGGCGGCGUGCCUAAUACAUGCAAGUCGAACGAGAGCGACCGGUGCUUGCACUGGUCAAUCUAGUGGCGAACGGGUGAGUAACACGUGGGUAACCUGCCCAUCAGAGGGAGAUAACAUUCGGAAACGGAUGCUAAAACCGCAUAGGUCUUCGAACCGCAUGGUUUGAAGAGGAAAAGAGGCGCAAGCUUCUGCUGAUGGAUGGACCCGCGGUGCAUUAGCUAGUUGGUGAGGUAACGGCUCACCAAGGCCGUGAUGCAUAGCCGACCUGAGAGGGUGAUCGGCCACAUUGGGACUGAGACACGGCCCAAACUCCUACGGGAGGCAGCAGUAGGGAAUCUUCCGCAAAGGACGCAAGUCUGACGGAGCAACGCCGCGUGAGUGAAGAAGGUUUUCGGAUCGUAAAACUCUGUUGUUAGAGAAGAACAAGUGCUAGAGUAACUGUUAGCGCCUUGACGGUAUCUAACCAGAAAGCCACGGCUAACUACGUG
RNAcentral lists this ribosomal RNA (498 nucleotides) under uncultured bacterium. RNAcentral describes it as "partial 16S ribosomal RNA". It matches the Rfam family "Bacterial small subunit ribosomal RNA", at positions 28 to 507 of the family's 1533-position model. The record is from RNAcentral.